RNAcentral lists this ribosomal RNA (482 nucleotides) under uncultured bacterium. RNAcentral describes it as "partial 16S ribosomal RNA". It matches the Rfam family "Bacterial small subunit ribosomal RNA", at positions 30 to 507 of the family's 1533-position model. The record is from RNAcentral.
AUUGAACGCUGGCGGCAUGCUUUACACAUGCAAGUCGAACGGUAACAGGCCGCAAGGUUCUGCCGAGUGGCGAACGGGUGAGUAAUGCAUCGGAACGUGCCCAGUCGUGGGUUAUAACUACGCGAAAGGGUAGCUAAUACCGCAUACUAUCUAUGGCUGAAAGCGGGUGACCGUAAGGCCUCUCGCGAUUGGAGCGGCCGAUGUCAGAUUAGGUAGUUGGUGGGGUAAAGGCUCACCAAGCCAACGAUCUGUAGCUGGUCUGAGAGGACAAUCAGCCACACUGGAACUGAGACACGGCCCAGACUCCUACGGGAGGCAGCAGUGGGGAAUAUUGGACAAUGGGCGCAAGCCUGAUCCAGCAAUGCCGCGUGGAGGAAGAAGGCCUUCGGGUUGUAAAGUGCUUUUGUACGGAAAGAAAAGGCUCUGGUUAAUACCCGGGGCUAAUGACGGUACCGAAAGAAUAAGCACCGGCUAACUACGUG